ACACUUCACAUUAAGCGGGCAGGGCCUAUAUAGGCCCUGCCCGUUUUUGCGGGCUAUGGCGAUAAAUUGCGGUGUGCAAUAGGCACAGCGGACCCGGGGGCAGUACCCGGCGGCUCCACCAAGAAGCCCGGUUUUCCGGGCAUGUUGACGGGGCCGAACCAGGAUCGACGUGUGUUGAAAAGCACUGUUUUCGCCCGGGCUGAGUACCCCGUAAAACUGUUCAAAACCUACAAGUGCCAAUGACAAUGAAGCACUCGCUCUUGCUGCGUAAUUUUAGGGCCUAACGGCCUGACCUUACAAAGCUAAAGCGCCGUUGGACCCACGGGGCAACAGAAGCGGAUUCCGGGCGUCCGGGGGUACGUAGCAACAGAAACCCCCACC
RNAcentral lists this transfer-messenger RNA (381 nucleotides) under Sphingomonadaceae bacterium. It matches the Rfam family "Alphaproteobacteria transfer-messenger RNA". Rfam says of the family: Bacterial tmRNA, also known as 10Sa RNA or SsrA, is named for its dual tRNA and mRNA-like properties. Its role is to liberate the mRNA from a stalled ribosome. To accomplish this part of the tmRNA is used as a reading frame that ends in a translation stop signal. Lineage: Bacteria; Pseudomonadati; Pseudomonadota; Alphaproteobacteria; Sphingomonadales; Sphingomonadaceae. The record is from RNAcentral.